UGACCUCAAAUCAGGUAGGACUACCCGCUGAACUUAAGCAUAUCAAUAAGCGGAGGAAAAGAAACUAACAAGGAUUCCCCUAGUAACUGCGAGUGAAGAGGGAAAAGCUCAAAUUUAAAAUCUGGCAGUUUCACUGUCCGAGUUGUAAUUUAGAGAAGU
RNAcentral lists this ribosomal RNA (159 nucleotides) under Marasmius brunneoolivascens. Its description in RNAcentral is "partial large subunit ribosomal RNA". It matches the Rfam family "Eukaryotic large subunit ribosomal RNA", at positions 1 to 159 of the family's 3401-position model. Lineage: Eukaryota; Fungi; Basidiomycota; Agaricomycetes; Agaricales; Marasmiaceae. The record is from RNAcentral.